RNAcentral lists this ribosomal RNA (776 nucleotides) under uncultured Neocallimastigales. RNAcentral's name for it is "partial large subunit ribosomal RNA". It matches the Rfam family "Eukaryotic large subunit ribosomal RNA", at positions 23 to 647 of the family's 3401-position model. The record is from RNAcentral. Lineage: Eukaryota; Fungi; Neocallimastigomycota; Neocallimastigomycetes; Neocallimastigales.
AUAGAGACUCAGAGCUGCAUAUCAAUAAGCGGAGGAAAAGAAACUAACAAGGAUUCCCUUAGUAACGGCGAGUGAAGCGGGAAGAGCUCAAAUUUGAAAUCUUCAAGGUUCUACCUUGACGAAUUGUAGUUUAUAGAAGUGUUUCCUGUUAGUAGAGUGGCAAAAGUUCUUUGGAAUAGGACAUCAUAGAGGGUGAGAAUCCCGUAUUUGGUCAUUCUUUCUAGCUUUGUGAUACACUUUCAACGAGUCGGAUUGUUUGGGAAUGCAGUCCAAAGUGGGUGGUAAAUUUCAUCUAAAGCUAAAUAUUGGCGAGAGACCGAUAGCGAACAAGUACCGUGAGGGAAAGAUGAAAAGAACUUUGAAAAGAGAGUUAAACAGUACGCGAAAUUGUCAAAAGGGAAGCGUUUGACACCAGUGUUGUUUUUCCGAAAAUCAAUUACGAAUGUUUUAGUUUUUAAGAAGUUAUGACUUCAUCGGCUUGCUUCUCUCUUUAUGAAACUUUCUUAAUGCACUUUUCGGUUAACAAGUCAACAUCAAUUUCUUUUGUUGUAAAAGGGUAUGAGGAAGGUGGCUUUCUUUUCGGAGAAAGUGUUUAUAGCCUUGUAGCCUCUGCAAUCGGAGAGAUUGAGGUCUGCAGCGUAGAUCCUUCGGGGUUAGAUACAGUUCGUGCUAAGUUAUAGCUUUUCAUAGACAACUUGUUGACUAUGUUAGUCUUGUAGCUUACUCGCUGAUGCUAUAUUACCUACGCUUAGGAUGUUGACGAGACUGUCGAUCUC